Molecule: ribosomal RNA, 312 nt
Filed under: Clostridioides difficile
Lineage: Bacteria; Bacillati; Bacillota; Clostridia; Peptostreptococcales; Peptostreptococcaceae
Description: bacterial LSU rRNA
Rfam family: Bacterial large subunit ribosomal RNA
Source: RNAcentral
AAGAGAGCUUGAUUGAAAGACAUACAGGUCGAGCAAGGAUGAAAAUCGGACUUAGUGAUCCGGUGGGUCUGCGUGGAAGGGCCAUCGCUCAACGGAUAAAAGCUACCCUGGGGAUAACAGGCUUAUCGCCCCCAAGAGUCCACAUCGACGGGGAGGUUUGGCACCUCGAUGUCGGCUCAUCACAGCCUGGGGCUGUAGUAGGUCCCAAGGGUUGGGCUGUUCGCCCAUUAAAGGGGUACGCGAGCUGGGUUCAGAACGUCGUGAGACAGUUCGGUCCCUAUCCGUCGCAGGCGUAGGAAAUUUGAGAAGACC